AUAAAAUAUAUUCUCCCUAUUUUCCCAUUCUCACCAUUUGGAUUCUGAAUCCCUAAUCGCCUCCUCUUCGCCCUCUAACGUGCACCGCCGCUUCUUCCUCAGCUUCUUAUCGUGGGCGCCUGCUGCCACAACUGCAUGACUUGGUCAAGUGGGUUCGAAGGCAAGGAGGGUUCGUACACCAGGCAUUGAAGAAAGCCAAAGACAUCAGCCAUGGUCUUGGGAUUCUUGCGUCUGAGGAAAUCCCAAAAAGGUCUGAACUCAUUGUUUUUCCUGAACAUAUUCCUUUGAGGUUUGAGUCUCUUGAAUCUGACGAAAUUAACUCUGUUAUGAUCGAUUUGUCUCGCAAAGCACUUGGUUGGUAACUUCAAGUUUUGUACAUUAGGCUAUACUGGAUUUUGAAUAUGACUAAAAUGGACACUGAGGAAGCAUUUGGCAGAGGAACUAUGUGCAAUAAAAUUGGGUUUGAAGCUUCUGCAAGAAAGAGCAAAGGUCGGAUCCUUUUGGUGGCCAUACAUCAGCAAUCUCUCGGAAGCUUACAGCAUUCCAAUUUUCUUCCCUGGUACUUUACUACUGGUUGCACCACUAAAUGCCUCUCUUAUUGUGGGUUAAUUUGGGAAAAAUGCUAACAAUGUUAUGCGGCCAAGAAACAACUUCAACAAUUUGUUUCAGCUCUACGCGGUUGUGAAUUAAUGGCCCAAGCCUAUUCUUCACUUGGAGCCAUUUUGGAAAAUGUUGAAUCUAGGCAAUUUGGUGCCUGUGGUGAUCAUGAAGCCUGUUGCUCUGCUUCUUAUGGUUGGAGUUGAGUAUUUGUAUUAUGUAUUAUAUAUGUAAACUUGCAUAGAUUUGAGUAUUCUAUAUUUGUGUAUAUAUAUUGUAUAUUGUAAAAUUGUACAUAUUUAAGUUUGUUUUUUCAAUGACUUAAA
This is a long non-coding RNA of Humulus lupulus (European hop), 923 nucleotides long. RefSeq lists it as uncharacterized. The transcript has 3 exons. Lineage: Eukaryota; Viridiplantae; Streptophyta; Magnoliopsida; Rosales; Cannabaceae. The record is from RefSeq and is a predicted model, not a curated record.